RNAcentral lists this ribosomal RNA (465 nucleotides) under uncultured bacterium. RNAcentral describes it as "partial 16S ribosomal RNA". It matches the Rfam family "Bacterial small subunit ribosomal RNA", at positions 28 to 507 of the family's 1533-position model. The record is from RNAcentral.
GACGAACGCUGGCGGCGUGCUUAACACAUGCAAGUCGAACGGAAAGGCCCUGCUUGCAGGGUACUCGAGUGGCGAACGGGUGAGUAACACGUGGGUGAUCUGCCCUGCACUUCGGGAUAAGCCUGGGAAACUGGGUCUAAUACCGGAUAGGAGCCAUUUUUAUUGUGAUGGUUGGAAAGUUUUUUCGGUGUAGGAUGAGCUCGCGGCCUAUCAGCUUGUUGGUGGGGUAAUGGCCUACCAAGGCGGCGACGGGUAGCCGGCCUGAGAGGGUGGACGGCCACAUUGGGGCUGGGGAACGGCCCAGACUCCUACCGGAGGCAGCAGGGGGGAAUAUUGCACAAUGGGCGCAAGCCUGAUGCAGCGACGCCGCGUGGGGGAUGACGGCCUUCGGGUUGUAAACUCCUUUCGCUAGGGACGAAGCUGUUUGUGACGGUACCUAGAUAAGAAGCACCGGCUAACUACGUG